GAUGAAGAACGCAGCGAAAUGCGAUAAGUAAUGUGAAUUGCAGAAUUCAGUGAAUCAUCGAAUCUUUGAACGCUUCUUGCGCUCCUUGGUAUUCUGAGGAGCAUGCCUGUUUGAGUGUCAUUAAAUUCUCAACUACACUGACUUUAAAUUGGUGUGGCUUGGAUUUGGGGGGAAAAUUGUUGUGGGCUUUUUGUAUAGUCUGCUCCCCUGAAAUUGAUUAGCGGUACCUUUGUGGAACUGUCUACAGGUGUGAUAAUUAUCUACAUCAUAGACAUCUGCUGGAAUGCUGCUUUCUAAACCUUACUUGUAUUGACAAUCUUGACCUCAAAUCAGGUAGGACUACCCGCUGAACUUAAGCAUAUCAAUAAGCGGAGGA
This 376-nucleotide unclassified non-coding RNA is filed under the name soil metagenome. RNAcentral's name for it is "partial contains 5.8S ribosomal RNA, internal transcribed spacer 2, and large subunit ribosomal RNA". The stretch from base 1 to 120 matches the Rfam family "5.8S ribosomal RNA", at positions 35 to 154 of the family's 154-position model. The record is from RNAcentral.